AAUAGGCCUACUGGGGACGGCAUCAACGUUAGUGUACGCGCCGCUACAUGAAUCGUUAGCUUAGGAUCCACGUGCUCAAAUAUUGACUGUACUUAGGCCUAACCGUCGUCGAGAAAAUACUCUAACAGAACAAACGAGCAUAUUUAUCUAUAUAAUUUUAUGUUGGUAAGUAAUCCCAGUGGUAUAGACCCAUUAGGUCAUGUCACCGGUUGGAAUUUAGUACGUGAACGUCUUUAUCAUUGAUAUAACCUGACAUAACCUUGUAGGACAACUUCCGGGUCGGCCAAAGCACGUUCCACAUGUGUGCCAGCCAGGCGAGACGGAGUAAACGAGCACAUAUCACGUCCUCACACCAAUGCAGACGACAGCGCUGGCUGGAAUACCGCAUUAACGCAGAUAAUCGGAGGUUACAUCAAUAUGGCAGGAAAGGUUCUACAAAAUUCUCGAGUUGUCAUUUUAGAAGGAUUAAAAUCUAGGUCAAGAAACUUUUCUACUUCGCUCAGUUUUCAGAAGAACUACAAACUUGUUGUCGUUGGUGGCGGGGCCGGGGGCUGUGCAGUCGCUGCCAAGUUCGUCAGAAAACUCGGAGCAGGAAAUGUGGCAGUCAUCGAGCCCAGUCAGACCCAUUACUACCAGCCGAUGUUCACGCUGGUGGGCGGAGGAAUCAAGACCCUGUCCGAUACAGCUCGACCGAUGAAGUCUGUCCUACCAGCCAAAUGUGAUUGGAUUGAAUCAAAAGCUGUUCAAUUCGAUCCGGUCAAUCAGAAGGUCACAACAGCCAGCGGGGAAGAGGUCGGGUAUGAUUACCUGGUGGUUGCUAUGGGACUACAGCUGAACUUCAACAAGAUCAAGGGACUUCCGGAGGCAUUUGACCUUGACCCUCAGGUCGUGUCAAACUACUGGACAAAGACAGUGGUCAACACUUACCCAGCCAUACAGAGAUUCAAGGGAGGUAAUGCCAUAUUCACAUUUCCCAACACACCCAUCAAAUGUGCCGGCGCUCCCCAGAAGAUUAUGUACCUUGCUGAGGAACUCUUUAGAAAGAACAACACAAGAAACGAUUCUGAAGUUCUAUUCAACACCGCCCUGGGUGUAAUAUUUGGUGUGAAGAAAUACGCAGAAAGUUUACAGAAGGUCAUAGAUUCCAGAAAUAUCAAAGUGAACUACAAGAGGAACCUGGUGGAGGUUCGAGCGUCGGAGCGUGAGGCUGUGUUCGAGAACCUCGACAAGCCGGGGGAAAUGGAGGUGUUUAAGUAUGACAUGUUGCAUGUAACACCACCCAUGUCGACACCAGACGAGCUACGAACCAGUGACAUCGUGAACGAGGCAGGCUUUGUGAGUGUUAACAAGGACACCCUUCAGCACACAAGCUUUCCAAACAUCUUCGCCAUCGGUGACUGCAACAGUGCGCCCACAUCGAAGACAGCUGCUGCAGUAGCGGCUCAGUCUGGAGUGUUAGAGCGGAACUUGUCAGCUGUGAUGGAUGGAGGGAAGCAGUCUGCUAAGUAUGACGGUUAUACUUCCUGUCCGUUGGUCACAAGCCGAGGGAAAUGUAUCCUCGCCGAGUUUGACUAUGAUGCGCAGCCAUUGGAGACGUUCCCCGUAAACCAGGGCAAAGAGAGGUCGUCUAUGUACCAAAUGAAGGCCAAAAUCAUGCCCGAACUCUACUGGAAACUCAUGCUCAAUGGAUACUGGAAUGGCCCAGGUGUAUAUAGGAAGAUGAUGAGGCUGGGGAUGUCGCCACGGAAACCGUCUGCUUGAGGAAACAUCUAAUACUGCAUACUUGUACUUUGACUUGUGAAUUGGUGUGCCUUUGCCAGUCUUGGAGGAUUAGUUUUCUACCUUAAUCGAGAUUUGACUCUGCUGAAUUAAAUAUUGGGUAUGUAAGUACCUGACUAAAGUAAAUCAAUUAAUAACUGAAGCAGGUAAAUUGUGAUCUGUCACAAGUGAUAUGCAUACUUAACAGGUGAGUUAUAAACUAAAGCAGGGAAAGUGUGACCUUAUAAGUGACUUGUUUACCUGAAACAGGUAAUUUGAAUACCUGUAAGGUAGAUGAUUACCUGUAAGGUAGAUGAUUACCUGUAAGGUAUAUGAAUACCUGUAAGGUAGAUGAUUACCUGUAAGGUAGAUGAAUACAUGUAAUGUAGAUGGUAGAUGAUUGCCUGUAAUGAUUACCUGUAAGGUAGAUGAAUACCUGUAAGGUAGAUGAAUACCUGUGAUGAUUACCUGUAAGGUAGAUGAUUACCUGUAAGGUAGAUGAUUACCUGUAAGGUAGAUGAUUACCUGUAAGGUAGAUGAAUACCUGUAAGGUAGAUGAUUACCUGUAAGGUAGAUGAAUACCUGUAAGGUAGAUGAUUACCUGUAAGGUAGAUGAAUACCUGUAAGGUAGAUGAUUACCUGUAAGGUAGAUGAAUACCUGUAAGGUAGAUGAUUACCUGUAAGGUAGAUGAAUACCUGUAAGGUAGAUGAUAAACACUGAUGAGGCAUGGCAGAGAAGUUGUAUUAUUGUGAAUGGCCCAAACACUACUACAUAUUGUACUAUUCUAGAUAAGGCAAACUUGGUCUCAACCUGGGCUCUUUUUCAUGAAACCGUUCUCAUGCACAAGUAUGGAUUUUGUGCUUAUUCCGGUUAUAAACUAACCUGUUAAGAGGUGGACAUGGUCUUUCAAUGAUAAAUGUUUUGACGCCUGUGUAACAUACAUUACAUUUGACAUUGUUCAAACCCUGGAGUUUAUUAGGUUGGAACUCUGACUCCCAUUAUCAUGAAACAAUCUAGAACUGGGUACAAUUGCAUACUUGCUAACAUUUCAAAUUCUCCACAGGGGAGAUUGCAUGUGCUCAAAAGUAUGUGUCUGUCCACCCUAGGGGAAAAAAGUAUGUGUCUAUACACCCUAGGGGAAAAAAGUAUGUGUCUAUACACCCUAGGGGAAAAAAGUAUGUGUCUAUACACCCUAGGGG
RNAcentral lists this unclassified non-coding RNA (2958 nucleotides) under Mizuhopecten yessoensis (Yesso scallop). RNAcentral describes it as "sulfide:quinone oxidoreductase, mitochondrial-like, transcript variant X1". Lineage: Eukaryota; Metazoa; Mollusca; Bivalvia; Pectinida; Pectinidae. The record is from RNAcentral.